This 253-nucleotide ribosomal RNA is filed under the name uncultured bacterium. RNAcentral's name for it is "partial 16S ribosomal RNA". It matches the Rfam family "Bacterial small subunit ribosomal RNA", at positions 524 to 776 of the family's 1533-position model. The record is from RNAcentral.
UACAGAGGUGGCAAGCGUUGUUCGGAAUUACUGGGCGUAAAGGGCGCGUAGGCGGCCAUCUAAGUCAGACGUGAAAUCCCCCGGCUUAACCUGGGAACUGCGCCUGAUACUGGACGGCUUGAGUAUGGGAGAGGGAUGUAGAAUUCCAGGUGUAGCGGUGAAAUGCGUAGAUAUCUGGAGGAAUACCGGUGGCGAAGGCGGCAUCCUGGACCAUUACUGACGCUGAGGCGCGAAAGCUAGGGGAGCAAACGGG